AAGGUAAGGAAUAACGUCGAGAAAUCGGCGCUAAUACCUCAUAAUGCAGCGGAUCCGCAUGGAUAUGUUGUUUAAAGGUUUACCGCCUUGGGAUAGGCUUGCGUCUGAUCAGCUAGUUGGUGUGGUAAUGGCACACCAAGGCUACGAUCAGUAACUGGUCUGAGAGGAUGAUCAGUCACACUGGAACUGAGACACGGUCCAGACUCCUACGGGAGGCAGCAGUGAGGAAUAUUGGGCAAUGCACGAAAGUGUGACCCAGCAACGCCGCGUGGAGGAUGAAGGUAUUCUAUAUCGUAAACUCCUGUGAGAGCAGACGAAAGACAGAUUAUUAAUUUGGAUGACUGUAUGCUCAGAGGAAGCCCCGGCUAACUACGUG
This 376-nucleotide ribosomal RNA is filed under the name uncultured bacterium. RNAcentral's name for it is "bacterial SSU rRNA". It matches the Rfam family "Bacterial small subunit ribosomal RNA", at positions 133 to 507 of the family's 1533-position model. The record is from RNAcentral.